Molecule: ribosomal RNA, 425 nt
Filed under: uncultured bacterium
Lineage: Bacteria
Description: bacterial SSU rRNA
Rfam family: Bacterial small subunit ribosomal RNA
Source: RNAcentral
UGGGGAAUCUUGCGCAAUGGACGAAAGUCUGACGCAGCGACGCCGCGUGGGUGAUGAAGGCCUUCGGGUUGUAAAGCCCUGUGGGGAGGGACGAAUAAGUUCCGGUUAAUACCCGGAGCGAUGACGGUAUCUCCUUAGCAAGCACCGGCUAACUCUGUGCCAGCAGCCGCGGUAAGACAGAGGGUGCAAACGUUGUUCGGAAUUACUGGGCGUAAAGCGAGUGUAGGCGGUUUCCUAAGUCAGGUGUGAAAGCCCCGGGCUCAACCCGGGAAGUGCACUUGAAACUGGGAGGCUAGAGUAUCGGAGAGGUUGGUGGAAUUCUCGGUGUAGAGGUGAAAUUCGUAGAUAUCGAGAGGAACACCGGUGGCGAAGGCGGCCAACUGGACGAAUACUGACGCUGAGACUCGAAAGCGUGGGGAGCAAAC